GGGGCUGAAAUAGCUUCGACGGGAUAAAAGAGAACUGGUUUCAAGCCGAGCAAGUUUGUUUGCCUCGUAAAUCCAACGAACAAGUUGUUUAAGUGCCAACUUAUUUAAAAAGGUCAAAACCGCUUUUAGCGGAUUAGCUUUUGCACCUGUUGUUGCCUAAACGCGACAACCGUCAAUAGAUUUGUCGAUCGGCUGAAUCUUGCGGCGUCAUAAUCCGAUCUACGUCCUGGUGAGAUAGUUUUGGUAAUCAGGAUUAGGUUAAAACAAAAGCAUUCGCCUUGUGCGAUCAGGGGUCUGUCGGCAAAUGUGCUUUUUAAACGAAAUUUGUCAAAUUCGUAGCGAAAUUUUUUAUAAGCGACGAUGUCUAUCAAUGGAAAGAUAAGCGGAGGAGUUUAGAAAAAAUUGCAGUAAAAAUGAUAUUUGUCGACAGACCCCACAAAGCUUGUCAACUGCCUUUUUGACUUUAUUUCGGACAGGGGUGCAACUCCCCUCAGCUCCAUUA
Molecule: transfer-messenger RNA, 502 nt
Filed under: Patescibacteria group
Lineage: Bacteria
Also listed under: 1 other name
Description: CG2-30-39-44 sp002789815 Standard tmRNA
Rfam family: transfer-messenger RNA
About the family: Bacterial tmRNA, also known as 10Sa RNA or SsrA, is named for its dual tRNA and mRNA-like properties. Its role is to liberate the mRNA from a stalled ribosome. To accomplish this part of the tmRNA is used as a reading frame that ends in a translation stop signal.
Source: RNAcentral